Molecule: small nucleolar RNA, 89 nt
Filed under: Peromyscus maniculatus bairdii (prairie deer mouse)
Lineage: Eukaryota; Metazoa; Chordata; Mammalia; Rodentia; Cricetidae
Description: Small nucleolar RNA SNORA3/SNORA45 family (ENSPEMG00000028758.1)
Source: RNAcentral
GUCGAGACUAGAGUCACAUCCUGACAUGGUGCUUGUUCUGGUGUGCUAGAAUUCUCCAAGAGAGCCGGGCGGUGGUGGCGCACGCCUUU